Drosophila obscura is the source of this 1082-nucleotide long non-coding RNA. RefSeq lists it as uncharacterized. Lineage: Eukaryota; Metazoa; Arthropoda; Insecta; Diptera; Drosophilidae. The record is from RefSeq and is a predicted model, not a curated record. The transcript is spliced from 3 exons.
GGCACUUUGAAUUUGAACUCAUAUUGAAUCAACCGCUCCCGUGGUGAUGGGAAUCUUUCGAUAUAAAUUUGAACAGUGCUACAAAAAUUCGCUAGGUGGCUCGUAUGGAUUUAUGUAUUGGAGCCACUGAACGACAGAUGGUGCUGGCAGUAAAUGGGGAAAAAUCACAUAGUGCUACUCAAUUUUCUAGUUCGCUUCUUCAGCACUAGAUGGCGUUUUCCAAUAUUUAAGCUGGCUAGAAAACUUAAUUUAAUCUUUUCUCCUGAUGUGGCAGCUCCUUUUGAUUGCGCGAGAAUAUCACGGGUGAAGAGCAUGAGAAAUGGUCCAUCCAACAUGCGAUGCCUUAUCAAGUCCUUAAAGGAAAGGACUUCCGAUUCCUCUAGGAUGUACUCCAUUGAAGGGCUGUUGCGGUCCGGAAUCCAUGCAGGAGCUAUACUGUUAACAGUAUACUGUCAAUAAACUUAAAAGUAUCUUUGCCAAAUAAAUUUAAUAAGGAUGAGGUCGACGGAAAUAUGUGACGUAUACUCGUAUAUACGAAUAUAUAUACGUAUAUACUCGUAUAUACUCAAUAUACGACGACAAAAAUUUCAUGAAAAUCAGACCAGCCGUUUGCGAGGAGCUCAGUCACAAACAACGUGACACGAGAUUUUUACAUAUAUAUAAUAAUACCUAUUGCUGCUUUGCAGCUCUCCAUGUGUGAUGCACCAAAUUCUAUUUCACACACAAUGAUCUCGUGAUGGAUAUGUGGCCUUGUCUCCGGGAACUCGUUUUCUUAGUGAAGAUCCGAUCAUUUUAAAGACUUUGGCUACCCUUCAUGUAAUCCCUCGCCACUAUAUAUGUAUGUACAUAUAGGAAUGUCUUCGUGGACAUUCGUGGAGACGGCAGUCAGCGUCCAUGGCACUCCUCCAAGCUAGACAAUUAUUUGUUUUCACAAUGGAAAAAUGGUGGUAUGGUAUCAAUGGCAUCGGUGGUUUUCGUACUUGUUCGGUUCACGUACCAAACUUUCCGUGUUUCAUGUGCGCUUGAAUAAUAUUGGUUGAAAUUCACAAACAAACGAGAAGGAACGUGCGAGUCGCUUCUGG